AUUUAUUUAGUUUAAAAAAACAUUUUAUUUUCAUUAAAAAAAAGGAAAUUUCCAAUAAAUA
Molecule: transfer RNA, 61 nt
Filed under: Krisna furcata
Lineage: Eukaryota; Metazoa; Arthropoda; Insecta; Hemiptera; Cicadellidae
Description: tRNA-Glu
Source: RNAcentral